UGAGGAUGAGCUUAUUUAUUGUAUAUCUUUGUUUUGCUGGUUUUCAAAACACUGUUUUUAAGGAGAUCUAUUUUCUGUACUCGCUAUUUAUUACACAACGUAUCACAUAUAUUUAUUUGUAUAGAUAAUUUAUUUUUACAUGCUAUUUAACAUGAAAAAGAAAAUAAAUACCUUAAACUGACAAUCUGCUAUCAUAUUUUCACCAUGUUUUGCUAUAGUACCAUCCCUUUAGAAUUAUCUGGGGAGGAUACCAAUGUGGAUGUUGGGCAUCUGAAGUCAGCAUAACCUCACCCAUGUGCUGAUGCCACCUGAGGGUGCACCCUGACACCUCCCCUAGGGCUCACCUUUGGGAUGAAUGGAUGCUGCGGUAGCUGGGGAUGUCCUUGCCUGCUGGUCCAGAAUGCGUAGCACCAAACAUGGGAAAUCUGAAGCCUAAAGCAUCCCAGUCCUGAGUGGGAAAGGCUCUGGGCUUGGCCAUCCCAGGAGCUCUCAGUAGAUCCCUAUAUGAUUUAAUUAUCAACCACAAGGUUAGGACAAGUGAGGAGUGCUGGGGAAGGAAAGCACCCUGAAGGGAGAGGAGAAAAAGGAUGGAUGAGCAGUACUGAAUCUCAUUCAGUUUGUAUUGCUUCGAGCCCAGAUGCUUCUUUGGAGACCAGUCAGCAGGGGAGGGGAGCUGGUGGCUAUGUGCGGGUGUGUAGGCCACAAGUGGUGUCACCAGGGCAAGAAGACUCCCCUAACCACAGCAAGGGGAUCCAAAACACACAGAUGAGAUUUUCUGCAUAUUAGGAAAGUCAACAGCUGAGUUUCAUCUCUGGAUCACCUUAUAAACUUCUUCUGUCCCGCAACUCUCCCAUCAGAUCCCAGGUUCACAUUGCCCAGAGACUCCAUGCACCGUUGGUGGUGCAAAUACUUCCUUCAGUAAUCUGCAGCUUCAGAACUGAUUUGUAGCACUACACCGAGCAGAAGAGAUCUCACAGCUGCUGGCUUCCAGGGCUUGACAUACCCUAGAGAAUUAUGCACAGCUGUAGCAAUUUGCUGAUUCAUCUGAUACUGUUACAAGAAAGGGUGACUGAAAGGUUGCUGUGACAGAAAGGACUCUGCCAGAAGGUGGGUUUCUGUUGAAAUUAAAGCAAAAUAAUAGUAAUGUGUACAGCUGUACAGACUUUUAGGGUAUUUUUUCAUGGGGAAUGGCCAAAGUGAAACCCUUUUUUUUCCCCCCUGAGGACACAAGGCCUUGGCUUAUUGAGCUCAGGGGGAACCCAAAGAGCAUCCAACCCAACUCUGGAGUCAGAGCAAGCUGUGUAGGGACAUGCCCAGGUGAGUCCUGGAUGUUUCCAGGAAGAGAGAUUUCACAACAUGGGAAUGUCUUUCUGUUAGGUGACUUUGUGGAGCAGCUCCAUGCCAGAGCCAACUGCAGAGCGAGGGAACAUGCUGGAGAGGGCAGAAGAUGGCAAACAGGGACUAUGAUAGGGACAAAGCUUUCCCAGCCCUCUGUAAAAUCCCUGAACGCUUAGGGCCAGGGGCCCAAUGCCCUCUUACAUCAAGGGCACUCUGUGACUAUUACGAAAGGUUUUGAAGUAGUGCAAGUUCCCCCAGCUCUCCAUCCCUGCAAAAUGCUCCAGCUGCCCUUAUCUUACUGACGUACAGCGUGGAUGUUUCUCUUCUUUCUGAUCCUGAUUUGUUAAGGUGACUGACUUAAAAAUCAGCAGACAAAUGGCACAGCUUCUUGUAACUUCUUCUGCUCUGGCUGGAUGUGACUUAGUUCAGGUUUUUUUUUUUGUUCCUGAAAGCGAUGGAAAGCUCUUUCUUUAGUCCUUGAUAUCAAACUUCAGCAUGAGUUAAUAAUGAUAGCUCAAGCCACUGUUUUAAUUUUCAUCACUACUAAAUCCCUGUUUUCUAAUGUACUGGAUACCAGCACUCUUGAUAUUGUAAUUUCUCCCCCCAUUCAGUGCUGUUCAUAAUUCACACUAAUACUAAUUCCUGUAUAUCAGAAAUUAUACUGGGAACCAUCAGGAAUCAUGUUGUGAUGUUACUGCACUGCUCUCAGAGGAGGUGGCGUUCAUUGAGAUCUGAUUGCUUUUAAUUUGCUUUGACAAAAAGAGUGCUUUGAAAAAUAACCUUCACUUCUGUCUGCAGGUGACUUCUGCACAUGUGUGAGUGGUUGGUGGAUUACUCAUUCUGAUGCAAAACUUCAGCUUUUUUGGACUAGAAGGACAGGCUGAAGGAUAGAUAGCUGCUGAAGGCUCUUGGGACUCCAGGCUACCAUGUGAAUUAGUGAUGAUUUUCUUCUUGUUUCCCUUGCACUCCAGAUGUCUCACUUAAGGUGUUACCUCUGUAGCCACAUCCCAACCCCCUUUCUCUGCCCCUGGAGAAGUCCCCCCAGCAGCCCACAUCCCCUGAUUCUUUCUGCACUCAUACUCCAUCAGAGUGUCUGUAGAAGAGGCUGGGGUCGCUUCUUCUUUCUCAUUAAAAAAUCAGUUUGAUUUCUGUGUUCUUUUCAGAAUGGAGGCUCCUUACUGCCCUGUGGCAGCCAAGAAAGGGCAGCUGACACGUGGUUCACCAUGCACUGUCACUCCUUUACUCAGAUGAAUGUCCCAAUAUCUUCAGACCCAGCACCAUAGACUGGACGCUUUUCCACGUUAUUCCUUGUUUCUAGUUUACUCUGUGGUCUCUUUUCUGGAAGGAUGUAUCUGAGUCGAUGUGAAGCUGCUUCAAGUGUUGUCUUAGCAAGGGAUCACUGUAGAUAGCAAAACAGAGGUCUACAAGGCAUUGGAGGGAAGGAACUUUCAGUCCAUGCCAAUUUUACAGGUGGGCAAAUCCUGCCAAUAACAAACCAGGAGGAAAAAGGCUUCUGGGUUAAUCAUUGUGAAAGCCAAAAGCUGGAAAUUGAACACCCUGUCAUGGUCUUGUGCUGGCUUCUAUAUAGUUUAACCUUGGCUCCAAAGUCCAGGCUACCACUGGGGGCCGUGACCACCACUGUCCCAUGGACAUGAAGUCCUGCAGUUGGACUACAUCUCAGGAGACUUAAAGAGGAGAUUGCACAGUUCAUACAUAUAUACAUAUAUAUAUGUAUGUAUGUACAUAUAUACACACACAUAUAUAUAAAUGACACUAAAAAGGUCAAGAUUAGGGCUGAUCAAGGCAAGAAUCUCAAACCUCUGAAACAAAAACCAGCGUGAAUUUUUCAGCUUUCAUUUCUACUCUACCUGCAGGCAGUGUCUGGCCUUGUAAUGUGAUUCAGAGCAUCACUGUGCUGUUUGGUUCCCUGGUAUUAGCAGUACCCAGAGGAAGCAGCAGCUAAACUCCAGGUCACUGAUAGGCAGUAACAGGCCAACACGUACACUGAUCUUCAUCAGAGAUUUGCAUUGCUGUUUGUUAUAAAAUAUACAUCAAAUCUUAGCUGCAUGAGACAUAACCCACA
Molecule: long non-coding RNA, 3421 nt
Filed under: Gallus gallus (chicken)
Lineage: Eukaryota; Metazoa; Chordata; Aves; Galliformes; Phasianidae
Description: lncRNA (ENSGALG00010015347.1)
Source: RNAcentral